GGGUGGUAGUGGUCCUCCAGGGUCAGCAUAUAUGUCACCAUGGUGUCCACUGGGAUGCGGAAUUUCUUCAGCAGGUCACGCUCCUGAGGCUGAGGGAACGGCCUCCGGCGUAUUCGGAUACGCAGAAGAUGUUCAGGCCCCACUUGUUCAGGUUCUCCAGUUCCUGGGUGGAGUAGGAGGCCAGAGCAAUUCAGAGCUCUGGUCUGAAAGUAGCACUGUCAUUGCCCACCGGGUGGGUGCUGUGCUCAACAGCACAGAGUUGACUGUCCACGUCCGACCAGGCCAGAAAAUAAAGCAACCACAGCGCCUGUGUACUGAGUGACUUUAAAAAAAAAAAUUUUUUUUUAAUGUUUUAUUUAUUUUUGAGAGCGAGAGACAGAGUGUGCGUGGGGGAGGGGCAGAGAGAGAGGGAGACACAGAAUCUGAAGCUGGCUCCAGGCUCCAAGCUGUCAGCACAGAGCCCGGUGCGGGGCUCUAACCACGGACUGUAAGAUCAUGGCCUGAGCCGAAGUCUGACGCUUAACCGAGGAGCCACCCAGGCGCCCCCUGAGUGACUAUUGUCUCCCAGGCAUUAUGCUAAAUGCUUGAUCUCAUUCGGUUGGUUGGAGAACCAAAGCUCAGAAGUGAUGCGACCUACCCAAGCCCUUGCAUCUCGCAAGUGGCAACGCUGUGGUGUGAACUCCGUUUGGCUGACCCCAAAAGCACAGUUUGGCUUCGGAGCCAAACAGCUCACCAGCACCAGGGGGAAAGGAACUCGGGCUAAUUUUCCAUAGCUCCCCAGAAUCCGGAACAGUGCCAGCACACCGUAGGUGCUCAGUAAACACCGGGUGACGGACUGGGCACCGGCUAGUGCUGGAGUUCAGGUUACAACAAAUGUCAGCUGACUGAGCCAACAAGAGUGCACCGAGUCCGCUGUACAAACCCAUGCGGGAGCCCCUUGGCAUUAGGUGUCACGGAGCUGAACCCAGGUCUGGCCUGUAGUGGAUGCUGUUGGCGUUCGACCCAGAUCCCCUUCACUGACCAGUGCACCUGUCCUCCUGGGUGGGUGCUGGGACUGUUGCUUACAAAGACUCACAGCUGCUCUGUUCUCCAGAAAACUGCUCUUGCCCCUGUGGGAGCUACACGGAGGCGGUAAU
This is a long non-coding RNA of Panthera uncia (snow leopard), 1136 nucleotides long. RefSeq lists it as uncharacterized. The record is from RefSeq and is a predicted model, not a curated record. The transcript is spliced from 3 exons. Lineage: Eukaryota; Metazoa; Chordata; Mammalia; Carnivora; Felidae.